Long non-coding RNA from Oncorhynchus tshawytscha (Chinook salmon), 1034 nucleotides. Lineage: Eukaryota; Metazoa; Chordata; Actinopteri; Salmoniformes; Salmonidae. The record is from Ensembl.
GAAGAACCCAGAACCUUCCCCUCCAACUCCCCCAAUCAAGUUUCCUUUUUAAGUCCUAUUUUAACCUCCUCUCCCUUCCAAACUCCCUUACCCCGGAGGGAGAGAGAGAAAGUCCCGGAGAACUAACCCCCUUUUAACUGUUCAAUGCUUCUUCUUUUAGCACUGUUUUUACUCACCCCUUUUAUGGCUUUUAAAAUCACCACUAUAAAUGUGAGGAGUGUAAGAACAGCAACAAGAGCACAGUCGGUUUUAUCCUUUUUAGAAAGGUUUAACUCUGAUGUGUUUUUACUACAGGAGUGUGGUCUACCCUUUUUAUCCUCUUACAGGAAAUGGGGGGAUAAGUGGCAGCACGGGCCCUCCAUUUGGAGUGGCUCCAAUUUUAACAAGAACGACGGUGUUGCCAUUUUAAUCAAGACCCCACAGGUGGUGGUGAAGGGGAGCACGGUGGUGGUAGAUCACGUAAUGCUGACGUGCACCCUUUCACUAUCUUCGGGGGUGACUGUGGGAAGAGGGCCCUGGAAAUUGAACUGCUCCCUUUUAGAAGAUGAUAGAGUAGUUAGUCAGUACAGAGAGCAGUUCAGCCAGUGGCAGACGCUACAGGACUUCUUUGACACGCGAGCACAGUGGUGGGAAAUGGUGAAGGGAAGGACGAGGACCUUCUUUAGAGAGAUAGGAAAGGAAAAAAGUAAAGAAAAAGAGAGACGCAUGGUGGGACUGCAAAAGCGACUGGAAAGGUAUUUUAACCUAUGCCAACAGGGCCUUGAUUUUAACCAAGAAAUUAAAGAAGUAAAAAAGGAAAUGGCACUUUUAGCAGAACAGAGAAGCAAGGGGGUUAUUUUAAGAAGCAAGGAAAGGGAAUUAGAAGAGGGGGAGAAGUGCACCAGGUACUUUUUUAAGAAAAUAGUUAGUAAGGGUAGGAUUAUGACAGGAUUGAGAAACAAGGACGGGGUUUUAAAAACAGACACAGAGGGAAUAAAGGAAGUGGUCGAGGACUUUUAUGGGGAACUGUUUGGGGUAAAAGAUGUGUGCGAGGG